UUUCUGAAGUGACAGGCUAAAUUCCCAAGU
This 30-nucleotide non-coding RNA is filed under the name Rattus norvegicus (Norway rat). Lineage: Eukaryota; Metazoa; Chordata; Mammalia; Rodentia; Muridae. The record is from RNAcentral.